UUACACAUGCAAGUCGAGCGGGGGAAGGUAGCUUGCUACCGGACCUAGCGGCGGACGGGUGAGUAAUGCUUAGGAAUCUGCCUAUUAGUGGGGGACAACAUCUCGAAAGGGAUGCUAAUACCGCAUACGUCCUACGGGAGAAAGCAGGGGAUCUUCGGACCUUGCGCUAAUAGAUGAGCCUAAGUCGGAUUAGCUAGUUGGUGGGGUAAAGGCCUACCAAGGCGACGAUCUGUAGCGGGUCUGAGAGGAUGAUCCGCCACACUGGGACUGAGACACGGCCCAGACUCCUACGGGAGGCAGCAGUGGGGAAUAUUGGACAAUGGGGGGAACCCUGAUCCAGCCAUGCCGCGUGUGUGAAGAAGGCCUUAUGGUUGUAAAGCACUUUAAGCGAGGAGGAGGCUACUUUAGUUAAUACCUAGAGAUAGUGGACGUUACUCGCAGAAUAAGCACCGGCUAACUCUGUGCCAGCAGCCGCGGUAAUACAGAGGGUGCGAGCGUUAAUCGGAUUUACUGGGCGUAAAGCGUGCGUAGGCGGCUUAUUAAGUCGGAUGUGAAAUCCCCGAGCUUAACUUGGGAAUUGCAUUCGAUACUGGUGAGCUAGAGUAUGGGAGAGGAUGGUAGAAUUCCAGGUGUAGCGGUGAAAUGCGUAGAGAUCUGGAGGAAUACCGAUGGCGAAGGCAGCCAUCUGGCCUAAUACUGACGCUGAGGUACGAAAGCAUGGGGAGCAAACAGGAUA
This 736-nucleotide ribosomal RNA is filed under the name Acinetobacter baumannii. RNAcentral describes it as "bacterial SSU rRNA". It matches the Rfam family "Bacterial small subunit ribosomal RNA", at positions 49 to 779 of the family's 1533-position model. Lineage: Bacteria; Pseudomonadati; Pseudomonadota; Gammaproteobacteria; Moraxellales; Moraxellaceae. The record is from RNAcentral.